AUAGUACUCCAGCAAAAGCAGCUGAACUUGUAACAGUCACCAGCUGGCACACAUUGAAAUAGCUCAGCCUCAUUCUCCAGCUGAGAUCCAGCACAGCUGAUCUUGGUGUAGGGCAUAAAUCUGCAUAGAGCUCACAUGUGGCCCUUCUAUGCUGGGGGUAGAUGUACUCGAUCCUCUGGGCUUGGGAAGGUCUUGGCAAAUGUGGAUUUUUCUCCUUUUGCAGAGGCUUUUGGAGGUUCUGAAAAACCAGACAACAUCAGCUGCUGCACCUUUUGCCCCCUACAGGACACAGACACUGUCCAGGGCAAAGUGCAGCUGGAGCCUAGAGAAGGAUGCGCCUUCACCAGGGCAUUUACCAGCGCUGCUCAGAGCUUCAGCAAGACGGAAAAGCCCCCUGCAAAGCAAACCAAGGGCUGCCGUGGAGAAGAGAGAAGCAGGAAAGGUGAAGUCUUUCUGUUUCUGCUAGGCUCUUCUCGCCUUAGCUUGCAAGCAAGGGCUUUGGGUGUCAUGGUGAAGGAAAUGGUUCUUCUGCUGCAGAUAUGA
Molecule: long non-coding RNA, 543 nt
Filed under: Anser brachyrhynchus (Pink-footed goose)
Lineage: Eukaryota; Metazoa; Chordata; Aves; Anseriformes; Anatidae
Description: lncRNA (ENSABRG00000016244.1)
Source: RNAcentral